This 402-nucleotide RNase P RNA is filed under the name Pseudonocardia kunmingensis. RNAcentral describes it as "Bacterial RNase P class A". It matches the Rfam family "Bacterial RNase P class A". Rfam says of the family: Ribonuclease P (RNase P) is a ubiquitous endoribonuclease, found in archaea, bacteria and eukarya as well as chloroplasts and mitochondria. Its best characterised activity is the generation of mature 5'-ends of tRNAs by cleaving the 5'-leader elements of precursor-tRNAs. Cellular RNase Ps are ribonucleoproteins. The record is from RNAcentral. Lineage: Bacteria; Bacillati; Actinomycetota; Actinomycetes; Pseudonocardiales; Pseudonocardiaceae.
CGAGCUGGCCGGGCGGCCGCGUCGACGAUCUCCGGAUCGCCGCCGAGGAAAGUCCGGACUCCGCAGGGCAGGGUGGUUGUCAACGGCAACCCGGGGUGACCCGCGGGAAAGUGCCACAGAGAACAGACCGCCUCGCACACACCGUGCGGGGUAAGGGUGAAACGGUGGUGUAAGAGACCACCAGCACCCCGGGUGACCGGGGUGGCUCGGUAAACCCCACCCGGAGCAAGGUCAAGAGGCUCCCGUCCGCGGGAGCUGCGCAGGCGUUCGAGGGCGGCCCGUCCGAGCCUGCGGGUAGACCGCUCGAGCCUGCCGGUGACGGCAGGCCUAGAUGGAUGGUCGCCGAACGGUGCGCCGCGAGGCGCCCGGGAACAGGAUCCGGCUUACAGGCCAGCUCGUCCG